GCGUAGAUCGCAAUUGUUCAUGGCAUUAAACUGCACAUGUCAUACCCAGUUCCAAAUGUUUCAAAAUCACAGAGUAUGAUUCUAUCCAUGUUUGCAAGAUCGAGAGUCGAAAGGAUUAUCGUAAACAUGCUACUUACAAGCUUUUAGGCGAGGUUAUGAAGAAUAGAUAUAGUUCUACGCAAGGGGGUCCGAGAGCUGUAGAUUUGCUUCAAUUGGUCUUAAAUGAUCUUAAUGUUCGGAUCUCAUAUUCUACAGCAUGGAGAGCUAGAGAGGUUGCAGUAAACUCUAUAAGGGGUGAUGAUAUGGCUAGUUACUGGUUUUUACCUACAUAUCUGUAUCUUCUACAAUUAGCAAAUCCCGGUACAAUCUGUCAUCUCCACUCCACUCCUGAAUCUAAUGGUCGGCAGCGCUUCAAAUAUGUAUUCGUUUCUCUCUCGGCUUCUAUAAAAGGUUGGAAAUAUAUGAGGAAAGUCGUUGUUGUAGACAGAACGCAGCUAGUCGGUCGUUACAAAGGAUGCCUCCUUAUAGCAUGUGCACAAGACAGGAACUUACAUAUC
This 557-nucleotide small RNA is filed under the name Arabidopsis thaliana (thale cress). Its description in RNAcentral is "ATSL086010". The record is from RNAcentral. Lineage: Eukaryota; Viridiplantae; Streptophyta; Magnoliopsida; Brassicales; Brassicaceae.